Molecule: ribosomal RNA, 439 nt
Filed under: uncultured bacterium
Lineage: Bacteria
Description: partial 16S ribosomal RNA
Rfam family: Bacterial small subunit ribosomal RNA
Source: RNAcentral
CUACGGGACGCAGCAGUGGGGAAUAUUGCACAAUGGAGGAAACUCUGAUGCAGCAACGCCGCGUGGAGGAUGACACUUUUCGGAGCGUAAACUCCUUUUAUAUAGGAAGAUAAUGACGGUACUAUAUGAAUAAGCACCGGCUAACUCCGUGCCAGCAGCCGCGGUAAUACGGAGGGUGCAAGCGUUACUCGGAAUCACUGGGCGUAAAGAGCGUGUAGGCGGGUUAAUAAGUCAGAAGUGAAAUCCUAUGGCUCAACCAUAGAACUGCUUUUGAAACUGUUAACCUAGAGUGUGGGAGAGGUAGAUGGAAUUUCUGGUGUAGGGGUAAAAUCCGUAGAGAUCAGAAGGAAUACCGAUUGCGAAGGCGAUCUACUGGAACAUAACUGACGCUGAGACGCGAAAGCGUGGGGAGCAAACAGGAUUAGAUACCCCCGUAGUC